RNAcentral lists this ribosomal RNA (217 nucleotides) under uncultured bacterium. RNAcentral describes it as "partial 16S ribosomal RNA". It matches the Rfam family "Bacterial small subunit ribosomal RNA", at positions 28 to 247 of the family's 1533-position model. The record is from RNAcentral.
GACGAACGCUGGCGGCGUGCUUAACACAUGCAAGUCGAGCGGUAAGGCCCUCGGGUACACGAGCGGCGAACGGGUGAGUAACACGUGGGUGACCUCGCCUCUAGCUCUGGGAGUAAGCCUGGGAAACUAGGGUCUAAUACCGGAUAUGACUCCACGGCGCAUGUUGUGGGGUGGAAAGCCUUGUGUGGCUAGAGAUGGGCCCGCGGCCUAUCAGCUU